This 423-nucleotide ribosomal RNA is filed under the name uncultured bacterium. Its description in RNAcentral is "bacterial SSU rRNA". It matches the Rfam family "Bacterial small subunit ribosomal RNA", at positions 355 to 775 of the family's 1533-position model. The record is from RNAcentral.
UAAGGAAUAUUGGUCAAUGGGCGGAAGCCUGAACCAGCCAUGCCGCGUGCAGGAAGACGGCCCUACGGGUUGUAAACUGCUUUUGUACCAGAAUAAACCUUGAUUCGUGAAUCGAGCUGAAUGUAUGGUAAGAAUAAGGAUCGGCUAACUCCGUGCCAGCAGCCGCGGUAAUACGGAGGAUCCGAGCGUUAUCCGGAUUUAUUGGGUUUAAAGGGUGCGUAGGCGGCUUGUUAAGUCAGGGGUGAAAGACGGUAGCUCAACUAUCGCAGUGCCUUUGAUACUGACGAGCUUGAAUGUACUUGAGGUAGGCGGAAUGUGACAAGUAGCGGUGAAAUGCAUAGAUAUGUCACAGAACACCAAUUGCGAAGGCAGCUUACUAAAGUAUGAUUGACGCUGAGGCACGAAAGCGUGGGGAUCAAACAG